Armigeres subalbatus is the source of this 503-nucleotide long non-coding RNA. RefSeq lists it as uncharacterized. The record is from RefSeq and is a predicted model, not a curated record. The transcript is spliced from 3 exons. NCBI's taxonomy places the organism in Eukaryota, Metazoa, Arthropoda, Insecta, Diptera, Culicidae.
CGCAAAGCAUCACAUCUUUUUACAGAAAGACGAAUAACGAGAAGGAUGCUAUAGAGCCGCAAAGUGCGUCGUUGAUACCUACGAGGAAUUGGCAGUGUAAGUGAAAUUGUGCAGUUUCAUCAUCGUACACGAGUAACCGGCCCAGUGUCUGAUCUCUUUCCAAUAAGACUUCAGACUUUUCUGCAGAUGCAAACUACCAAGGUUGGAUUCUGGAUGAGUAUGCCUGUUGAAGAACCGUAGCAGGAGCAGGAAGCAGGAUAAAUGAAACCGCGCUGGCAAAUUUUGCUACAGAACAAAAUUGUCAGGAUCAUGAUUCGACCUACUAUUUGAUGGAGUCCGGUACAAGAGCAAUCUGGCGGAACGGGAUUCACGGAAGAAGUUGCUAAGCAAUGAUAACAUGCGAGUAGUCGAAGAAUGCAGUCACGGCCUGAUCAGCAUCCUAUAGUCGUGUCAUCAAGAAAAAACAAGACGUAUGUAAUUUAAAAAAAAAAUGAAAUUUUAAA